This 944-nucleotide ribosomal RNA is filed under the name Ansonia muelleri (Mueller's stream toad). RNAcentral describes it as "partial 16S ribosomal RNA". It matches the Rfam family "Bacterial large subunit ribosomal RNA", at positions 1414 to 2772 of the family's 2925-position model. The record is from RNAcentral. Lineage: Eukaryota; Metazoa; Chordata; Amphibia; Anura; Bufonidae.
GCCUAAUCACAAAACUAAUAUCUUAAUCCACCACCAACACCGAGUACUUCUAUAAUGCUAUAGAAAAUUUUAUGUUAAAACUAGUAACAAGAAGCAAACCUUCUCUUAAAUGUGGAUGUAAAUCAGAAAGGACAGACCACUGAUAUUUAGCACCCUUGAACCUAAAGUAACAACUAAUCAAGAAAACCCUACUCUAAUUAACGUUAACCUAACACAAGAACAUUCUAAGAAAGAUUAAAAGAACAAGAAGGAACUCGGCAAAUUUUAACCUCGCCUGUUUACCAAAAACAUCGCCUCUUGGCCCCCCCCCAUAAGAGGUCUAGCCGGCCCAGUGACUCUGUUUAACGGCCGCGGUAUCCUAACCGUGCGAAGGUAGCGUAAUCACUUGUUCUUUAAAUAAGGACUAGUAUGAAUGGCAUUACGAGGGUUACACUGUCUCCUUUUUCCAAUCAGUGAAACUAAUCUCCCCGUGAAGAAGCGGGAAUUAACCUAUAAGACGAGAAGACCCUAUGGAGCUUUAAACAAUACAGCAUUUACCUUACAAAUUUCUAAAAACAAACUUUACUAGGUAAAAUGGCUAUAAGUUUUUGGUUGGGGUGACCGCGGAGCAUAGUCUAACCUCCUUGUUGAAAAAAUCUUAUUUUUAAGCCCAGAAUUACUUAUCUAAGCAUCAACAUUUUGACAUCCAUUGACCCAAUUAUAUUGAACAACGAACCAAGUUACCCUAGGGAUAACAGCGCAAUCCACUUUAAGAGCCCAUAUCGACAAGUGGGUUUACGACCUCGAUGUUGGAUCAGGGUUUCCAAGUGGUGCAGCCGCUACUAGCUUCUUCUAGUACGAAAGGACCGAAAAAGCAUGGCCUAUAUACUAACAAGCCACUGCUACUAAAUUAUGACAUUAACUUAACAAUAUCGUAGCCCAUAAACCUGCUCAAGACAAGAGCC